UACAACAGUGCGCCUCACCCAUCGUGUGAAGCAUGGGCGUAUAUUUUUAUUACAGGGUGGGGCACUAAAAUGGCCAAUUUCAGAAAUAGAUUUUUUCAGUAGUAAUUUAGAUAAGAAUUCUCACUAAACAUUAUUAGUUCAAAGACAACAUGCCAUUUAAUAAACAUGGAACAGUGGAGUGGUGAACAACGUGCUUAUGCGAUAAAAUCGUUUUACAAAAAUAAUGACAGUUACGUAGCCGCACAGUGUUAAUUUUGUCUUCAACUUAAUCUUAAACGCCAUGAUUCGGUACCAUCAAAGUAAAGUCUAUGCCCAGAAACCUCGAAAUAUUUGAUGAAUUAAAAACCAAAAUUAAAGAAGAAAUCGCCAGUACACCUUUGGAAGUGAUACACCGUGUAGUGAAAAAUAUAUGAAGUAGGCUAGAAGAGUACUUGA
This is a non-coding RNA of Cinara cedri, 435 nucleotides long. The record is from the annotation of a GenBank genome assembly. Lineage: Eukaryota; Metazoa; Arthropoda; Insecta; Hemiptera; Aphididae.